Molecule: ribosomal RNA, 826 nt
Filed under: Flavobacteriaceae bacterium ACEMC 7-2
Lineage: Bacteria; Pseudomonadati; Bacteroidota; Flavobacteriia; Flavobacteriales; Flavobacteriaceae
Description: bacterial SSU rRNA
Rfam family: Bacterial small subunit ribosomal RNA
Source: RNAcentral
CAGGCUUAACACAUGCAAGUCGAGGGGUAACGGGGUGCUUGCACCGCCGACGACCGGCGCACGGGUGCGUAACGCGUAUACAAUCUACCUUGUAGAGGGGAAUAGCCCAGAGAAAUUUGGAUUAAUGCCCCAUAGUAUUAUUAGAUAGCAUUAUUUGAUAAUUAAACAUUUAUGGCUACAAGAUGAGUAUGCGUUCUAUUAGUUAGUAGGUAAGGUAACGGCUUACCUAGACUUCGAUAGAUAGGGGUCCUGAGAGGGAGAUCCCCCACACUGGUACUGAGACACGGACCAGACUCCUACGGGAGGCAGCAGUGAGGAAUAUUGGACAAUGGGCGAGAGCCUGAUCCAGCCAUGCCGCGUGCAGGAAGACGGCCCUAUGGGUUGUAAACUGCUUUUAUAGAGGAAGAAACACUCCUACGUGUAGGAGCUUGACGGUACUCUACGAAUAAGGAUCGGCUAACUCCGUGCCAGCAGCCGCGGUAAUACGGAGGAUCCAAGCGUUAUCCGGAAUCAUUGGGUUUAAAGGGUCCGUAGGCGGGACAAUCAGUCAGCGGUGAAAGUCUGUGGCUCAACCAUAGAAUUGCCAUUGAUACUGUUGUUCUUGAAUACUUAUGAAGUGGUUGGAAUAUGUAGUGUAGCGGUGAAAUGCAUAGAUAUUACAUAGAACACCGAUUGCGAAGGCAGAUCACUAAUAAGUCAUUGACGCUGAUGGACGAAAGCGUAGGUAGCGAACAGGAUUAGAUACCCUGGUAGUCUACGCCGUAAACGAUGGUUACUAGCUGUUCGGAAGCAAUUCUGAGUGGCUAAGCGAAAGUGAUAAGUAACC